AAGGGCUCUUCCGAAGCAUGCC
This 22-nucleotide microRNA is filed under the name Cordylochernes scorpioides. The record is from RNAcentral. Lineage: Eukaryota; Metazoa; Arthropoda; Arachnida; Pseudoscorpiones; Chernetidae.